UGCUUCUCUGAUGUUAGCGGCGGACGGGUGAGUAACACGUGGAUAACCUACCUAUAAGACUGGGAUAACUUCGGGAAACCGGAGCUAAUACCGGAUAAUAUUUUGAACCGCAUGGUUCAAAAGUGAAAGACGGUCUUGCUGUCACUUAUAGAUGGAUCCGCGCUGCAUUAGCUAGUUGGUAAGGUAACGGCUUACCAAGGCAACGAUGCAUAGCCGACCUGAGAGGGUGAUCGGCCACACUGGAACUGAGACACGGUCCAGACUCCUACGGGAGGCAGCAGUAGGGAAUCUUCCGCAAUGGGCGAAAGCCUGACGGAGCAACGCCGCGUGAGUGAUGAAGGUCUUCGGAUCGUAAAACUCUGUUAUUAGGGAAGAACAUAUGUGUAAGUAACUGUGCACAUCUUGACGGUACCUAAUCAGAAAGCCACGGCUAACUACGUGCCAGCAGCCGCGGUAAUACGUAGGUGGCAAGCGUUAUCCGGAAUUAUUGGGCGUAAAGCGCGCGUAGGCGGUUUUUUAAGUCUGAUGUGAAAGCCCACGGCUCAACCGUGGAGGGUCAUUGGAAACUGGAAAACUUGAGUGCAGAAGAGGAAAGUGGAAUUCCAUGUGUAGCGGUGAAAUGCGCAGAGAUAUGGAGGAACACCAGUGGCGAAGGCGACUUUCUGGUCUGUAACUGACGCUGAUGUGCGAAAGCGUGGGGAUCAAAC
This 707-nucleotide ribosomal RNA is filed under the name Staphylococcus aureus. RNAcentral describes it as "bacterial SSU rRNA". It matches the Rfam family "Bacterial small subunit ribosomal RNA", at positions 79 to 773 of the family's 1533-position model. The record is from RNAcentral. Lineage: Bacteria; Bacillati; Bacillota; Bacilli; Caryophanales; Staphylococcaceae.